GAUGAACGCUGGCGGCGUGCCUAACACAUGCAAGUCGAGCGAGAAAUUUAUGGACGAUAUUUCGAUUGAGUUUGUAAAUGGAAAGCGGCGGACGGGUGAGUAACGCGUAGGUAACCUGCCCCAUACAGAGGGAUAGCCACUGGAAACGGUGAUUAAUACCUCAUAAAACUAAGAAUACACAUGUAUGCUCAGCCAAAGAUUUAUCGGUAUGGGAUGGACCUGCGUCUGAUUAGUUAGUUGGUGAGGUAACGGCUCACCAAGGCGACGAUCAGUAGCCGACCUGAGAGGGUGAUCGGCCACAUUGGAACUGAGACACGGUCCAA
This 323-nucleotide ribosomal RNA is filed under the name uncultured bacterium. RNAcentral's name for it is "bacterial SSU rRNA". It matches the Rfam family "Bacterial small subunit ribosomal RNA", at positions 28 to 334 of the family's 1533-position model. The record is from RNAcentral.